This 378-nucleotide ribosomal RNA is filed under the name uncultured Streptococcus sp. Its description in RNAcentral is "bacterial SSU rRNA". It matches the Rfam family "Bacterial small subunit ribosomal RNA", at positions 1003 to 1382 of the family's 1533-position model. Lineage: Bacteria; Bacillati; Bacillota; Bacilli; Lactobacillales; Streptococcaceae. The record is from RNAcentral.
UAGAGAUGAAAGUUACUUCGGUACAUCGGUGACAGGUGGUGCAUGGUUGUCGUCAGCUCGUGUCGUGAGAUGUUGGGUUAAGUCCCGCAACGAGCGCAACCCCUAUUGUUAGUUGCCAUCAUUCAGUUGGGCACUCUAGCGAGACUGCCGGUAAUAAACCGGAGGAAGGUGGGGAUGACGUCAAAUCAUCAUGCCCCUUAUGACCUGGGCUACACACGUGCUACAAUGGUUGGUACAACGAGUUGCGAGUCGGUGACGGCGAGCUAAUCUCUUAAAGCCAAUCUCAGUUCGGAUUGUAGGCUGCAACUCGCCUACAUGAAGUCGGAAUCGCUAGUAAUCGCGGAUCAGCACGCCGCGGUGAAUACGUUCCCGGGCCUU